AACGAACGCUGGCGGCAGGCCUAACACAUGCAAGUCGAGCGCCCCGCAAGGGGAGCGGCGGACGGGUGAGUAACGCGUGGGAACGUACCCUUUGCUACGGAAUAGCCUCGGGAAACUGGGAGUAAUACCGUAUGUGCCCUUCGGGGGAAAGAUUUAUCGGCAAAGGAUCGGCCCGCGUUGGGUUAGGUAGUUGGUGGGGUAAUGGCCUACCAAGCCGACGAUCCAUAGCUGGUUUGAGAGGAUGAUCAGCCACACUGGGACUGAGACACGGCCCAGACUCCUACGGGAGGCAGCAGUGGGGAAUCUUAGACAAUGGGCGCAAGCCUGAUCUAGCCAUGCCGCGUGAGCGAUGAAGGCCUUAGGGUUGUAAAGCUCUUUCAGUGGGGAAGAUAAUGACUGUACCCACAGAAGAAGCCCCGGCUAACUCCGUG
RNAcentral lists this ribosomal RNA (431 nucleotides) under uncultured bacterium. RNAcentral's name for it is "bacterial SSU rRNA". It matches the Rfam family "Bacterial small subunit ribosomal RNA", at positions 29 to 507 of the family's 1533-position model. The record is from RNAcentral.